Molecule: long non-coding RNA, 211 nt
Organism: Alosa sapidissima (American shad)
Lineage: Eukaryota; Metazoa; Chordata; Actinopteri; Clupeiformes; Clupeidae
Exons: 3
Source: RefSeq, a predicted model, not a curated record
UGUGUGAGAAUUGGUAUCAACUAGUGAUGCACCGAUGUGAAAAUUGUGGCCGAUACCGAUAACCGAUAUUAAUUUUGCUGUUAUGGCCGAUACCGAUAUUUACCGAUGUCGAUAUAUCUGUAUAGAAAACACAUUCUUAUGAUAAUCAAAUAAAGAGCUAUUUUCCAAAAUGCAUUUUUUUUAAAUAACGUUUCAAUAGCCUACCUUAGAA